AAAGAGAAUUAAGAGCAUAUGGUGGAUGCCUUGGCGCAAAAAGCCGAUGAAGGACGCGGAAGGCUGCGAUAAGUCUCGGAGAGCUGUCACCAAGCGUUAUUAUCCGGGAAUUUCCGAAUUGGGAAACCAAAUACUGGUCAUGCAGUAUUAUCCAAGCUACUUUGUAGCUGGAGGGCGACGCAGGGAACUGAAACCUCUUAUUACCUGCAGGAAAAGAAAACAACAGUAAUUCCCCUAGUAGUGGCGAACGAAACGGGAGUAGCCCAAACUUAUAUUGUGUAAGAGGGAUCUGAAGCAUGAUUCGCGUUGCGAUGAUUGUGGAAGUGAACUCGUAGGCCGUAACUCGUGCAAUAUAAGUGUUAUAGGAUUACCACGCUAAUUUACGGAUUAGCAAAGAAGUUACAAAAUACAUAUUUAAUCGAACAUGCCUGGAAAGGCAGGCCAUAGAACAUGAUAGCUGUGUAGAUGAAAAGUAUGUAUCUUCUGGUAAUAUCCUCAGUACCACGGGACACGUGAAACCUUGUGGGAAUUUGCCGGAGCCAUCCGGUAAGGCUAAAUACUUUUUGCGACCGAUAGUGAACUAGUACCGUGAGGGAAAGGUGAAAAGUACCGCGGAGAGCGGAGUGAAAUAGCACUGAAACCGUAUGCUUACAAACAGUCGAAGCCCCGCUAACUUAUAGUUUGUUAAAUCGUUUUUAAUUAUCUUUUAAGGACUUUUUAAUGAUGAGUCUGUAUACUCAUCAUUUAUGUAUUAUGUGUAUGUAUUAAAAUCUACCAAGACGCGCAAGAAUAAGUUUUACGUUGGAGUAACCGCAAAUCUUUUGCGGAGACUCAGCGAACACAAUUCAAUGCUUAAUCGAGGUUAUACAAAAUCUAAUCACUGGAAAGUGGUGUAUGUUGAAGGAUAUGUGAAUAGGAUUUUUGCGUACGACCGUGAAGCCAAAUUGAAACAGUAUGGAGCAGUUUGGCAAGGCCUGAUGCACAGAAUUAGGUGCUCAUUGGAUACGCACAUUGUUGAUACAAGAGUCUAUAAAAAGGUAAAAAUUAGAAAAGGUGAACGAAUUAUAGGUUAGCGGGGUGACGGCGUGCCUAUUGAAGAAUGACCCAGCGAGUUAGUAUGUACAGCGAGGUUAAUCCCACUAUGUGGGGCGAGCCAAAGCGAAAGCGAGUCUGAACAGGGCGAUUUUAGUUGUAUGUACUAGACCCGAAACCAAGUGAUCUAACCAUGUCCAGGGUGAAGCCCCGCGAAAGCGGGAUGGAAGCCCGAACUCGUUAAUGCUGCAAAAUUAUGAGAUGAGGUGUGGUUAGCGGUAAUAUGCCAAACGAACUUGGAGAUAGCUGGUUCUCCCCGAAAUAGCUUUAGGGCUAGCGCUUCAGUUUAAACAAUGGGGGUAGAGCACUGAUUGGAUUUUGGGCCCGAAAGGGUACCAUAUCCUGUCAAACUCCGAAUACCAUUGUGAACAUUGGAGUAGUUAGAGCUAGAGGGAUAAGCUUCUAUGCUCGAGAGGGAAACAGCCCGGAUCGUCAGAUAAGGACCCUAAAUACCAUCUUAGUGGAAAAGGUAGUGAGAUCUCUUAGACAGCUAGGAGGUUGGCUUAGAGGCAGCCAUCCUUUAAAAAGUGCGUAAAAGCUUACUAGUCAAGAGAUGUUGUGCCUAAAAUGUAACGGGGCUGAAGAUGGUUUCCGAAGCUGCGACUUACCCUGCUAACUUAUGGUUUACAAAGUGCCGUUUUAAAAGCGGUUUUUCUUUGGAACUAUAGGUUAGCGGGGUGGGGGUAGGGGAGCGUUCUGUACGUCUCUGCUUUAUUGCAGAGCAUCGCUGUGAAGGUGGCCCGACAAGGAGCUGCUGGAGCGUACAGAAGUGAGAAUGCUGGGAUGAGUAGCGCAAAGUGGGUAAAAACCCCACUCGCCGAAUGUCUAAGGUUUCCAUGGCUAUGUCAGUCAUCCAUGGGUUAGUCGGUCCUAAGUUGAGGCUGAAAGGCGUAAACGAUGGACAACAGGUUAAUAUUCCUGUACUACUAAUAAAUUCUGAUGGAGUCAGGUUGUUGAGUAUGCAAGCCCCUUUUGGCUAUUGGGGUGUAAAAAGUUAGCUUAUGCCUCCCAGGUAAAUCCGGGAGUUGCUCGCGAGCUUUGAUGCAGAGGUGAACUUCGGGGAUCCGAUUUGUAGAGCUCAAUGGCCCAGGAAAAACUUCUAAGAUUAUUAUUUUCUUCGGAAUUUAUGAAAAUUUAUUGGUAACCGUACCGCAAACCGACACCGGUAGACUGGUGUAAAAGCACCAAGGCGUACGAGUGAUGCGUUGUUAAGGAAUUCGGCAAAUUAACCCCGUACCUUUGGAAGAAGGGGGGCCAUACGUCAUAUAUCUUUGGAUUUGUGGCGAUUAUGGUGGCACAGAAUUGGAGAGGACGACUAGUUACCAAAACUACAGGUGCCUGCAAACACGUAAGUGGAUGUAUAGGUGCUGACACCUGCCCAAUGCCAGAAGGUUAAGGAAGUUGGUUAUCGUGCUUUGGAUGCAUCUUCGGAUGCUCUGAGGCUGAGAAGCUGGUGACCGAAGCCCUGGUGAAUGGCGGCUGUAACUAUGAACCAGAUAGAGAAAAUCUAUCAAUUGUAGUUGUAAAAUUUGGCCAAAUGCUGGAAUAUCCGAGUAUCUUUGACUACUAACUGGAUAAUGAAUAUUAUCAGGAAGUGAAAAUGUCAAAGUGCGGACAAUCAGCAGGAAAGAUUCUUAUGAAAGAUAGUUCUGUUUGUACAGACUAUACGUCGGAUGCGAACUAUAUUUGCGGAUUUGCUGAUGGAGAGAGGAGUUUUUAAUAUUUCCUUCAAAGUCAGAAAAGAUUAUCGAUUGGGUGUGAAAAUUACUGCAAGUUUCAAUAUUUCACAAAAGGAACGUAAAAUUCUUGAUUUUAUUAGGAAUUUCUUCCAAUGUGGAACCAUUCGCCAUCGUGGCGAUGGUGUUUAUUACUAUGAAGUAACGAACUUGAGAGACUUGUAUGAAAUCAUAAUCCCUUUCUUUAUGAACUUUCCUCUUAAAACAAGGAAAGGAAAGACUUUUAUGGUCUUUGCUAAUAUAGUAGAGUUGAUGAUGGAAGAAGUGCAUUUAACGAGAACUGGAAUUCUGAAGAUAUACGAUAUGCGAGAGCAAAUCGUUGUUGGAAGAAAACGUAAGUAUUCGAAGAAUAAUAUUCGGGAAAUACUUGAUUCAUAAGAGAAUCCUCAGAGACUAUACGCCAGAUCUCUUGCCAAGAUAUUUUGGGAAGAGGAUGAUAUAGUCCGACCUGUAUGGCGACAUACAGAGAUGCUCAGAAAUGAAGUGUCCCAUUAUGACGAUGUCAAUCGGAAUAAUGAGUAACAAAAGUGAACGGUCCUAAGGUAGCGUAAUACCUCGCCACUUAAUUAGUGGCUUGCUUGAAAGGUGUAACGAUCCUCUCGCUGUCUUGACAGCGCGCUCGGCGAAAUUGAAAUGACUGUGAAGAUGCGGUCUACCUGUACCAGGACAAAAAGACCCCGUGGAGCUUUACUGCAACUUUACAUUGGUACAAGAUUACGGAUGAAGAGAAUAGGAGGGAGACUUUGAACUCGACUCGUUAGGGUUGGGGGAGUCGUCAGUGGAAUACCUCUCUUUUGUCAUUUUGUGUCUUAGUAUGCAAGUAAUCCUUGUGUAUGACAGUGUAUGGUAGGCAGUUUGACUGGGGCGGUUGCUUGCGAAAGAGUAACGCAAGCGCACAAAGGUUGACUCAAUCCGGAUGGAAAUCGGAUGAAGAGUGCAUAGGCAUAAGUCAGCUUUACUGUGAGGGGGACACCCCGAUCAGUUGCGAAAGCAGGUCUAAGUGACCCUAUAGUAGAUUAUGGUAUCGCUAUUGUUUAACGGAGAUAAGCUACCCCGGGGAUAACAGGCUAGUCGCGCCCGAUAGCCCAUAUUGACGGCGCGGAUCGGCACCUCGAUGUCGGCUCGUCACAUCCUGGGUGUGGAGAAGCACCCAAGGGUUGGACUGUUCGCCCAUUAAAGUGGCACGUGAGCUGGGUUCAGACCGGCGUGAGCCAGGUCGGUCUCUAUCCGGUACAGGCGUUGCAUGUUUGCGAGGAUUGACCCUUAGUACGAAAGGAUCAGGGUGAGGUAACCUCUAGUGCACCAGUUGUUCCGCCAGGAGCAUAGCUGGGUAGCUACGUUGCUAUUGGAUAAGCACUGAAAGCAUAUAAGUGCGAAGCCUGCCUCAAGAUGAAACAUGCUUAUUCGCUUUAAGCGAAUGUGAGGUCUGUAGUAGACUACUACGUUGAUAGGCUCUAGGUGUGAGUGUAGUAAUAUAUUUAGCCAAGGAGUACUAAUCGACCGAAAUCUUUUU
RNAcentral lists this ribosomal RNA (4341 nucleotides) under Candidatus Dojkabacteria bacterium. RNAcentral's name for it is "23S ribosomal RNA". It matches the Rfam family "Bacterial large subunit ribosomal RNA". The record is from RNAcentral.